CCGCACUCUCCACAGAAUCGCUGCCAUGAAUGAUGUUCCUGGGUGGAGAGAGGGAAUGGUGUUACCAAACGGGAAGAAUGAACUUGCCCACAGCCCCUUGCACUCGGCUUUUGAUAGCCGAUGCUGGCCAGGCUCUCUGUUCAAGAAAGGCAUAGCCACUGGGACCAAGCAAAUAUGGGGGACCCUCCCUCCAAGUCAGCUUCCACCUUCAGAGGCAAGAAGACAAAAUUCAUGUUUAAAAGUGACUGAAACCUGGUGCAGUGGCCAGUGCCUGUAUUCCCAGCAUUUGAGAGAGGGGUGGAGGUUGGGAGUAUCAGGAAUUCAAGAAUAGCCUCAGCUACAUAGCAAUUUGGAGGCCAGCUAGCCUACUUGGGACAUUGUCUCGAGGAAACAACUAAACUAAAGGCUGAAGAGACGGCUCAGUUUUAAGAGCACUGGCUGGUCCUCUAGAGAACCUGGGUUUAGUUCCCAGGAUUCACACGGGGCUCACAACUAUCUGUAACUCCAGUUCAGGGGACCCCAGUUCCUUGGGCACCAGUCAUGAAAGUACACAUCAUGCAGGCAAACUAUCCAUACACAUACAGAAAAGUGAAAAAUAAAGAUGAACUUUAAAGGCUAAAAUAAAAUGAAUUGACCCGC
RNAcentral lists this long non-coding RNA (639 nucleotides) under Rattus norvegicus (Norway rat). RNAcentral's name for it is "long non-coding RNA NONRATT004754". Lineage: Eukaryota; Metazoa; Chordata; Mammalia; Rodentia; Muridae. The record is from RNAcentral.